AAAGGGAGACCUAAUUCGGGUAUAAGACGAAAAAAUAGUAGUCGAAACCAAGAAUCAAUCCCAAAAGGUCGGAACGAGGUAUGUGGCUUUCAAACUAGGUUCUGGGUUCAUAAAAGACCUGAAUCAGGAACAAGGGCUAUUAGCUCAGGUGGUUAGAGCGCACCCCUGAUAAGGGUGAGGUCCCUGGUUCGAGUCCAGGAUGGCCCACCUGCACAGGUGGCAAAAACAAGAGAAGCGAGGAAUCAGCACCUUAUCCUAAUUUAUAUAUAGGAGAGAAUGCUGGCUCUGAGUAAAGAGUCCAGAGGAACCUUGAAGACUGCAUAGAGCUAGGUGAAGAAGCCAAAAAAGAAGACCGCAAG
RNAcentral lists this transfer RNA (359 nucleotides) under uncultured Microcystis sp. RNAcentral's name for it is "partial 16S-23S ribosomal RNA intergenic spacer". The stretch from base 134 to 207 matches the Rfam family "tRNA". Lineage: Bacteria; Bacillati; Cyanobacteriota; Cyanophyceae; Chroococcales; Microcystaceae. The record is from RNAcentral.